RNAcentral lists this ribosomal RNA (868 nucleotides) under Cerinomyces neuhoffii. RNAcentral's name for it is "Cerinomyces sp. AS-2020i partial large subunit ribosomal RNA". The record is from RNAcentral. Lineage: Eukaryota; Fungi; Basidiomycota; Dacrymycetes; Dacrymycetales; Cerinomycetaceae.
AGGCAUCAGAUCAGGUAGGGUUACCCGCUGAACUUAAGCAUAUCAAUAAGCGGAGGAAAAGAAACUAACAAGGAUUCCCCUAGUAACUGCGAGUGAAGCGGGAUGAGCUCAAAUUUGUAAUCUGCCUUUGGCCGAGUUGUAAUCUGGAGAAGCGUUAUCAGGCGCCGACCGCACCGAAGUCUCUUGGAACAGAGUGUCAUAGAGGGUGAGAAUCCCGUGCUUGGUGYGGCUGCGGCGUUGYAGAGGCGCUCUCGAUGAGUCGAGUUGUUUGGGAAUGCAGCUCAAAAMGGGUGGUAAACUCCAUCUAAAGCUAAAUAUUGGCGAGAGACCGAUAGCGAACAAGUACCGUGAGGGAAAGAUGAAAAGGACUUUGGAAAGAGAGUUAAAGAGUACGUGAAAUUGCUGAAAGGGAAGCGCUUGGAGUGAGUCGCGCGGGCAGGAGUCAGCUCUGCGUAUUUCCUGCCCGUGGGCCAGCAUGGACUUUGGGCGGCGGACAAGGGCGGUGGGAAUGUGGCAUCCUCGGAUGUGUUAUAGCCUGCCGUCGUACACGCCGUKYGGGGUCGAGGACUGCUUACAGGAUGCUGGCGUAAUGGCUUUAAGCGACCCGUCUUGAAACACGGACCAAGGAGUCUAACAUGCGUGCGAGUGUUUGGGUGKUAAACCCGGGCGCGAAAUGAAAGUAAAUGGAGGUGGGAGCUUCGGCGCACCAUCGACCGGUCUGGAACWUUUGGGAUGGAUCUGAGUAAGAGCAUGUAUGUUGGGACCCGAAAGAUGGUGAACUAUGCCUGAAUAGGGCGAAGCCAGAGGAAACUCUGGUGGAGGCUCGUAGCGAUUCUGACGUGCAAAUCGAUCGUCAAAUUUGGGUAUA